Long non-coding RNA from Cucurbita maxima (winter squash), 245 nucleotides. RefSeq lists it as uncharacterized. Lineage: Eukaryota; Viridiplantae; Streptophyta; Magnoliopsida; Cucurbitales; Cucurbitaceae. The transcript is spliced from 3 exons. The record is from RefSeq and is a predicted model, not a curated record.
CUAUUUAAGGAAGACGGGAACUUGUGAACUCUGCGCUCCGGGAGUUGAUGGAUGUGAUCGCCUUGUUGAGCUUGUAUGUUUACUUUGCAUGAAAUAUGUAUGAUGAUGUUGGAUGAUAGUAUUGUGCAUACUCAGUUAAUUUUCAUGACCCACAUUUAUGAUUAAGUCUAGGGAUUCAUGGUUAGAGUAACAAGACACUAAGUAUAGACCCAACCUUUCCCCUAGGAGCAUAAGAAACUACCACG